RNAcentral lists this transfer RNA (85 nucleotides) under Felis catus (domestic cat). It matches the Rfam family "tRNA". From Rfam's summary of the family: Transfer RNA (tRNA) molecules are approximately 80 nucleotides in length. Their secondary structure includes four short double-helical elements and three loops (D, anti-codon, and T loops). RNAcentral also lists the same sequence under 1 other name. Lineage: Eukaryota; Metazoa; Chordata; Mammalia; Carnivora; Felidae. The record is from Rfam by way of RNAcentral.
GCCUGGGUGGCUCAGUUGGUUGAGCGUCUGACUUCGGCUCAGGUCAUGAUCUCACGGUUUGUGGGUUCAAGCCCCGCGUCGGGGU